CCUGUCCGCCAGCCCGGACGCGAACACGGAACAGCGGGACCGCGCGGACGCUCUGUCGGCUUUCGAACCGCGCAACUACCACUUGACUAGUGCCAAACCUUCAGUUGCGAUGUAACCGCCUACGUAACCGUUACUUAUGACAAGAUACAAUAAAACAAUUGUGAUGAUCAAAUGAAGGCGUCCAAAAUCGAAUUAGUUAAAGAUUUAACGUAGCUUAGUUAGCAGAGUUAGUUGUAGCUAUGAUGUGCGCGGCGGUGGGCUGCGUGGUUAGGGUAUAGCGAGAUGGCGGCGGUCGCCGGCUUGUAUGGACUGGGCGAUGAGCAGCGCGGCAGGCACCGGCGAGGCCAGGCCAACGCGGAGCGCUCGGAGUCCCGGGACGAUAACACCGAGGCGUCGCUGCCAAAACUAUACAACCAAGAAGAAGAGCAAGGCAAGCCGCCGCAGGGCGGUGUUGUCACCUUUGAGCCGAUACAGCAUGAUCACGACUUUUGCGAGAGGGUCGUGAUCAAUGUAAGCGGCCUUAGAUUUGAGACACAACUUAGGACAUUAAACCAAUUCCCGGAGACACUCUUGGGCGAUCCAUCGCGCAGGAUAAGAUACUUCGACCCUCUUAGGAACGAGUACUUCUUUGAUAGAAACAGACCGUCUUUUGACGCAAUCCUCUACUACUACCAGAGUGGCGGGCGGUUACGUCGCCCAGUCAACGUGCCACUCGAUGUAUUCUCGGAAGAAAUUAAAUUUUACGAACUUGGUGAACAGGCAACCAACAAAUUCCGUGAGGAUGAGGGUUUCAUCAAGGAAGAGGAAAAGCCUCUCCCCUCAAACGAACGCCAACGCAAAAUCUGGCUGCUCUUCGAAUACCCCGAGAGCUCCCAAGCCGCCCGCGUCGUUGCCAUCAUCUCCGUCUUCGUCAUCCUCCUGUCCAUCGUCAUCUUCUGCCUCGAGACUUUGCCCGAAUUCAAACACUACAAAGUCUACAACACCACCACCAAUGGCACCAAGAUCGAAGAGGAUGAAGUGCCGGAUAUUACUGAUCCAUUUUUCUUAAUAGAAACUUUGUGUAUCAUCUGGUUUACCUUCGAGUUGAUAGUGCGAUUUUUAGCAUGUCCGAACAAAUUCAACUUCUUCAGAGACGUGAUGAACAUAAUAGAUAUCAUAGCUAUUAUUCCCUACUUCAUCACGCUUGCUACCGUCGUUGCUGAAGAAGAGGACACGCUGAAUCUACCGCGGGCUCCGGUCUCGCCGCAAGACAAGUCGACGAACCAGGCGAUGAGCUUAGCAAUCCUGAGAGUGAUACGUCUCGUGCGAGUCUUUCGGAUCUUCAAGCUGUCACGUCAUUCCAAGGGUCUGCAGAUUUUAGGACGCACCCUCAAAGCUUCUAUGCGAGAACUUGGAUUAUUAAUAUUCUUCCUCUUCAUCGGUGUGGUGCUGUUUUCGUCUGCGGUGUACUUCGCGGAAGCGGGAAGCGAAAAUAGCUUCUUCAAAUCGAUACCUGAUGCGUUUUGGUGGGCGGUCGUUACCAUGACGACCGUAGGAUACGGAGACAUGACGCCUGUCGGCGUGUGGGGCAAGAUCGUGGGGUCGCUGUGUGCGAUCGCUGGUGUGCUUACGAUCGCGCUGCCGGUGCCCGUCAUCGUGUCCAACUUUAACUACUUCUACCACCGCGAAACCGACCAGGAGGAGAUGCAAUCACAGAACUUCAAUCACGUGACUAGCUGUCCUUAUCUGCCGGGCACCAUGGGCGAACCAUAUUUAGUUUCAGGACCAAUCAAGAAGACUUCUGUCAGCGAUGACUCCUCGUCUGAUAUGAUGGAGUUCGAUGAAUCAGCCCUCGUAACCGAUCCGCACUUAGAGACCAACUUACGUCGGUUACGAGAGGAAGAGCGGCUGCUGUUAGAACAACAAGCGGCCAUGGAGGCGGCAGGCACCUGCGAUGAUAUCGCCACUCUAGAACAUCUAGAUGCCCUGCGUCUCAACCAGAUGAAACAGCAUGAACUGAUGAAACAACAAGCCGCGUUGGCAAAGCGCAACGCGCGUGCCCUUGCGGCUGACAACGCGCGACGCGACCCGCGCCGACGGGCGCCCUGCAACGUCCGCGUCAACCAUCUCCACUGCGCGAGCGGCACGGACUCCAUCGAAACAGACGUCUGACCAACGGUCGAAGUAGAAGUACUCGUACACCAUCCCGCGGGACAGUAAAAGCUGUAAGGCGAGCGAGGCCGGCGUGUGGCGCGGCCGCCUGCCGGCGCGCUCGCCGCCCGCGUGCCACGUCUGAACUCCUCGCCACGGACUAUGUGCUUCUACGACAAUUAGUUAGAAAAGUAGUCUCCGAUGUUAUUAUCUAUUAGUCUACGCUUGUACCAUAUGAGACCAGAUUUAGUAAUAGUAUGGUUUAUUCCCAUCUUUAAUAUUGUUCAUCUGGGGAUGUGAGCCUUUUCUCCCUCCGUGUGAUGUUUGAUUUUACUAAGUUACUUUAUGAGAAAACUAUGAUAAUUUGAUUCAGUAAAAAAAGGGAAACAAUAAAAAUUUUUAAUGGAACAUCUAAUGGUCUGAUAACUUCACCUGUCAGUAAUUUUUUAAAGAUUCAUAGAAUUGCAUGGGGACGCCACAUCCUCCUUUGUACGUCUAUCUUAAAAGAUGGAAACAAACCAAUUAAACGGCUUAUACCGCUUCAACACUUUAUACACUUCGACACUUCUGUAAUAUUAGGAAUUGUUCUUCUGACAUAUGUAAUAGAAAUAGGCCUACAUUAUAUCAUUAGAUGGUAAUAUACAUAAUUGAGACACUGAAACCGAUAGAUGACAAUAUUAAGGAUGUGACAAUAGCAUGGCAGCUCAGGGCGCCUGCGAUCCCGAAUAGGAACUCUCUGACAUGAGCCACGACCGGACAGCGACCAGUGCCGCCGCGGCGCGCAGCCGCAUCACGCGGCCGGCACUAACAUCAAUCUAAGUAUUUCAUGAAAUUUUGAAUAAUUCAUGAGUGCUUUCGGACCGACGAUUUCAUUGAAUUCAAAUCAUGCCUCAGUAGAUACAAGGCUUAUACUCCAACGGAAUGUGAUGCAGCGGAUAUAUUUAGGAAGAGAUGGUUUUGACGAGGCAUUUAGAACGAGGUUGCAGACAACCUCGCAUGGAAACACAGAUUAUUUAUAUUACAUGUAUUCAAUGUUGUAAAUCUAUAUAAUCACAGCCGCGACCCCUUAUCCCUGUAUAUAUUGUUGUAACAGCCUCGGCAACCGAACGGACUCCUGCAGACGUAUGUCCUUUAUAUGCCUAUAAAUAUAGAUAUACAUAUUUCAUAUAUAGCAGUUUAUCGAUGUUGUGUUAUUCAUAAGUGUGUUACAUAUUUUAUUCAAGGGAAUGCAGAUGGUUGUGACAAGGUUGAAAACGUUACUAGAAGUUACGACUGGCGUAGAUAAUUGCAUAUCCAGAAAUAAACCGAGAGGAUCGCUGCUGACCAAUCAUUGUGAUAGUCAGACUGUCAACGACUGCGUUUAGGCGUUAUUGUUAUCGUUUAGUUAAUCUUUGAGCAAUAAAUUCAUAUCUAAAUCCUUUUCAAAUGUUAUAUUUCUCCAAUAUAAAUUAUCUAUAUUUAAUUCGUAAAACCAGCGUAUUUUCAAUAAUUCAUUGGAUUAAAGAAUUUCUAUAAUAUUCGCUUGCUUUAAAAGCUGUUUUGUCUUCAAUACGCAAUGCAAUUUAGGCUCGUUAUGACGUACAUAUCUUAUGCGGGAAUUUGUGAGUUAUAUUUAAAACUUAUUGAUGUGUUCGAAAAGUUUUUUGGUCGAAAUUUUCCAUUUGAAAUUUCGUCUCAUUGUCAAUUUGCUUGGGAGUAGGAAUAGAACGACUCGGCUUGGUUGCAGUACCAGUUGUUUUGUGAACUCGCCCCUCGGCUAGUGACACCGGGGCGUAGCGGGACAGAGCUCACAAAAUUGCUUCUAUGGCAACUCGACGGACUUUGUUAAUUAUAGUAGAUGUUAAUAGAAUCAAAGAAUAAUUUCGCCAUAUCAUUAUACACAUGUCAUAGCGUUAAACAUUUAAGUAAAUUACAUGUUUAUUCUCUUAGAUUAAAGUAAAUUAGGAAUUAGUAGUUUAAGAUUUAAAGUGUUUAAUUACUAUUUCCACACAAUUGCCUACUAAAGAAUGUCUCGAUUGGCGAACAGUCAAAUUAGAAAUGGAUUUAAUUUUUAAAUGAUAUAUAAUGUAACAAAAGCUGCCAAAAUUUAACACUAUCGCUCAAUUUCUUUGAAAUUAAAUUUUUAAAUUUUUAUCAGAGUAGAAUAUAAGUACAUUAAUGGAUGCAUAUGCUAUAGUACAAUAAUACGUAUAGAAGCUUAAAGGGAUUACGCUUAAAUCAUUCAGCCACUUUAUAGAUUCUGUAUUUCACGGAUGGUCUUAGCAGAGCUCUAUUUAAGUCACUUUAUCGCUUCUCAGUCAAAAGUUACAUCUAGAUAAAAAGUAUCAUUUUUAAAACGGCUGAUGGUAAUUUAGUAUCCUUUGAGGGCGCCUAAGUCCGUUAAUUCUUCUGUAUACAUGUCAGUACAAACAGUGCCAUGUCCAUGUGAUGACGAAUUUUCGAAUACAGAGAGUCCCGGAAUAGUUUUGGUUGUCAAUAAUAUCGCCAGUUUCCACAAUAAUGCUCGGACACAGGCGCAUUCUCGCACGCGCGUGAGUCCGGGCGGUAAACUUAAAUGUUCCAUUCUUACGAGAGCUUCGGUAUUUUGGAAGAGUUUGCUAUACUUUAAUUAUUAUGCAGAAUUUUGAAUAAACUAAUUAUAUUAUAGACAAUUUAAAAGAUGUCGUAGAUAGUGUUGAGAUAGACGGGACGAGGGCCUUUUACUCGGAAAAUAUUUACACUAUCGGCCAAAGGUCACCGAGGCUGUUGCAAGCACCGUCUAUAAUGAAUGUGUCAAUCUAUAUGUGUUUAACUGUAGGUAUAUGUGUCUAUAUACUCAACUAGCGCACGGGUCCACUGACUGACGAGAUACAGGAAUAAAAUUAUGAGAAAGAUUGGAUAUAACGUAUCAGAUGUUUAAUUUUAGCGUAUUAAGGAAAUUUUCUUAUAAAUACGUAUGGCGUUAACUUUGAUUUGUUUCAUUUGCUACGAAUUGUUAUCACGUUGAAGAAGAGAUGAUGUUGCGGAAAAUAAAAGACGGAGGUGCUAUUUUGUUCAAAAUUAUACACGCUUUCAAAAUUGUAUUAGAAGCAGUUUAAGGCAACAUUCGAGCAUCCCGAGGUGCGGGAAUGGCUCGCGACGUGUUCCGCCGAGCGUGUCACGCGCGCCGAGGGCCAAGUCGGAUCUGUAAGGCAAGACUGAGCUACAUUCCAAUGUUAUGUAAAUGAGAAGUGACGAAGUUACGGAUUGUGAAUUUCUCAUGUUGGCCAAAAUUGUAUUUACGCCGUGUUUAUAACGCGUAUUAUAAUUUUUGCUCAGUAUUACUAGUUGAUAUGAGGGCGAGAUUGUAAAGUCACGGACCCGCUGCGGAAAGUACGGCUGUUCGUUCCCUUUAUAUACUGGUUCAGAUAAAGCUAUAGAACAAAUACUAUAUAGAUUCCAAUGUAUCGAAUUAGAACAAUUUGGAGAUACAACAUAUAGUGGUUUAUGCUGAAAGUUGAAAUAAUGCUGUUUCGCUUUUUUUUCCCAAUUGUCACUGUACAAGCGAGAGGCAAUAUUUCAAGAUUCAAUUUAAAUUAUUAUCUUAUUGUAGAAAAAGUUGUAAUAAUAGUUGAAAGAUCAAUUUGCGAAAUGGACAAAUUGUUAGUACCACAUAGAGCGAAUUUAUGUAGACAUGGCGAUAUAAAGGGAACAAGCAUUAAACCCAACUUCGUUUUAAAUGGCUCCGAGGAAUCUUGAAAAUUUAUUUCACUUCAAGAUUCUCUUAUAGUAGUUUACAUAUACCUAGAUUUCAGUGAAGAAAUCAUUUUGUUUUCUAUCUCGUAGUUAGGGCGAAGUUGGUUACUAUUAAAUGUAUUAAGUCUGAAGAGACAGACUGUAUAUAAUAUGGUCUUUAGUGAACAACUGUAAUCAGUAAAAUUUUAUCUGUAUAUUUGUUUUAAGAUUUAUAGUUAGGUAUCCGCAACCUUUUAGCGUUGUAUAUCUUGUGGAUAUACGUUUCGCUUGUUUGAUUGUCGUCGCUCGCUUCACGUGUACUCCGGAACUGGGCGGGACGCCGGCACAUACAGUCUUCAGCACAUCUCUGUAAUAGCCAUACAAAUGGUCAAACAAAUACAUACAGGAUUUAUCAUUCGCAUUCACUCGGUUCUAAUGAUUUGCAUAAAUGCCAUUCAGGUGCGGUUAUGUAAUAACAUAAAUUAAACAUUUAGGUUAACGUUUUCUUAUAUAUUUACAAAUAAGCCCGCAAUUUGCGCCAAUGUAGUAAACGCACUAAGCAAAAUAUCAAAUUACGUUUUUACACUUGCCCUCUCCGUCCAGGACAAAGCGUGUUCAUUCUAUCACUAAAUUAUAUAAUUAUAUAACCUUUACUUUAUUUCUAAAGUAUUUUCAAAUUGUCUACAUUAUUUAAAAAUUUACACGUUUUUCAGCUUCAUCAUAAAAUAGGCUUCAGUUUAAGGUGUAUCUUAUAGAUCUGGAAUGAACGUUUAAAAUUUUAUCGCUUUUGGGCUUUUUUGGUACAAAUUAAAAUUGCAUAAGAUAAGAAUGGAGUACUAGAUACAUACCUAAUCUCUCAUAAAAUUUAAGGUUUUAUAAUGUAAGAGCUUUUCUAGUAUACUUAAAAAUGAGAUCUUAUGAGAUAUUCAGAAUUUUUCGCGGUAUAUCAACAUUUCCAUCCAGUAUUAUUAGAUAAAAUAGAUGUAAUAACAAUGCUAUAUCUAGCUCCUAUAGUACGGUAACUAAAUAGGUUCAAUUGGCAGUCUGGUUGUAUUUCUAAUUCAUAUCUGGAUUCUAGUAAGUCCCGUUGUAGACGGGCGUGUCUCGGUUGUCAUAGCUAUCCUGAACGACCACAUCAUUCGAUUUAUUAGCAGCUUUGCGGCACAUUUCAUUGAAAAAUAACACUAUAAGAAUAUCAAUGUUAUGAAAAUGUUUAAUCAACAAUAAGAAGAUUUUACGAAACCACCUGCUCCUGAAAGAUGGCCUUAAUAUCCAACUCAGUCUAAAUAAAACUAUUUGUCAAUAAAAAUGCUACCAUCAAUAGCAGCCAUUGAGAUACGUCUACUUAAACUGUGCCCGAGAUGAAAUAUAACACACAAGAUUAUUUUUCUGGCAUUAAUACCUCAGUUAUGGGAAUAGUCAAGGCCGCUAAUAAAUCUAAUUAUGUAAUAUGUUUUUUGAAAUGUCUCGCGUCUGUGCCAAUUAUACGCUUUAGGUACAAAACAAAAUUAUUAUUUCGCAAUGUUGUUUUUUGAGUAAACAAUUAAUCUUAAAUCGGCUCUCAAGCUUAAUAUUAUAUUGGACUAUAUACCUCUAUUAAUUACAAUUAAAUACACUCAGUGGUUAUGAAUUAAAGUUUCGGAUUCCACGUGAAGAUGCGAUUAUAAAGUACGUGUUUAUUACACUUUUACUAAAGCAUAUUUUUCUUAAUUUUUAUAAGUGUACACUAUAAUUUAGAACACGUAUUCCAACACAAUGCUACUGCUGAUUGCGGCGUGAGUGUUAUUUGAGUUUGGGCAUUUGGUAUUUUGCCAAUAAUUUUUGGUUGUAACAGCUAAACGGUUAACGAAUGAAGCGAUUUCUGUAAGGCGCUGGCAGAUUUCUGUCAAUAUAAAUAUAACACGCAGGGCCGCAGCACUAACAUUGUGUAAAUAGUAUAAUAACAAACACAGUGACUUUGUUUGAAUCAAUUUCGGCAAACGUGAGUGUUUCUAAAAUCCACUGCUUAUCUUGGUCCCAACGCCCCGCGUUAAAGUGACAACAUAGUAUUUUAAAGGGCAAGUCAUACAUCUGUUAUGAGGAAACUGUUUGCAACGUUUUGUGAAUUCAAUUAAUCUACGAAUACUUUGAACUUUGGUAAUGUAGUAACAGUUCAUAACAAUAUUGUUAUUGUUUUCUUAUAAACUUACAAAGAAAUACUCACCUAAGCUAUCUGUGAAUGAACUUGCAAGUGAAUUUAUAAAAGCUCGAACCAAAAAAUAUAAAUGAAUUAUUUUAAUAUAAGAAAACAGUAAAAAAUACUUGUUUCAUUAUGACUCCCUAGGAAUAUCUUUACUAUGUUGUCAUACAUAGUUUUUUGCUAGGUUCGGUGGCGUCACUUGUAUUCAGAUAUAUGUGAAGAUUAUAUUAUUAGUAUCAAUGUUGUAAGGACCUUAAUUUGGAAUAAUAAUGGUACGAAUGGAUUGCGUGAUUCGUUACAUCAGCGAUACAACACCGAUAAUUCUUCACUAAUAGGUAAUUAAUAUUUAUUUAUUUUUCCCAUAAUAUUUCUGUGCGUAAUUAUGUAUAUAGAAUAUGUAAAACCAAUGUAAAAAAUAUCUACUUAAAUCGAUGUGUAGUUAUCGGUGAUGUUGCAGCUGAUAUGAGUUUGAUGACCGUAAUCUCAAACGGUACUUUCAAAUCGAAUAUGAUGAAUUCUUCGAGUUCUCUAUAUCAAAAGUAAGAACUAUGUACCGUCUGAGGUUAUGGGGGAGUGAUAGUAUAAUUAAUGUUAACAUCGUGAAAUGUUAUGAACCUCGUUGUAAAAGCAGUGGCUGAAUUCCUUGCGUGUGGUUUGUACGAGGUAACGUUGAAAUGUUUUCGGGAUGGAUCUGUAAAUGUCAAUUUGUAUAACUGUUGGUACGCGUCUCCGCUGCCGAGCCCUACCCACGCUUACCUACCCCGUGUGACUGAAGCUUUAACAAUACUUAUGUUUACAGCUACGCCGAUUUUUCUUUAUUCCUUAUACGUUGUAAACCCGAUAUUGUAUAAAUUAUUCAAUAAAGUGUAA
Molecule: RNA transcript, 8872 nt
Organism: Colias croceus (clouded yellow)
Lineage: Eukaryota; Metazoa; Arthropoda; Insecta; Lepidoptera; Pieridae
Gene: shaker
Gene name: potassium voltage-gated channel protein Shaker
Exons: 12
Source: RefSeq, a predicted model, not a curated record